GACGAACGCUGGCGGCGUGCUUAACACAUGCAAGUCGAACGGAAAGACCCUGCGUUUGUGGGGUUCUCGAGUGGCGAACGGGUGAGUAAAACGUGAGUAACCUGCCCUUGUCUUUGGGAUAACUUCAGGAAACUGGGGCGAAUACCCGAUAGGAGCUCCUGCUGCAUGGUGGGGGUUGGAAAGUUUCGGCGGUGGGGGAUGGACUCGCGGGUUAUCAGCUAGUUGGGGGGGUAGUGGCUUACCAGGGCUUUGACGGGUAGCCGGCAUGAGAGGGGGACCAGGCACAUUGGGCCUGAGGGAGGGCGCAGACGCGAAUGGGAGGCAGCGGGCGAGAGCAUUGCGCAGCGAGCGGGAGCGUGAGACGGCAGCGCUGGGUGCGUAAAGACGGCUUUCGGGUUGAGAACCGCUUUCGCCUGUGACGAGCUGGGCUUGACGGUAAUGGGUAAAGAAGCACCGGCUAACUACGUG
RNAcentral lists this ribosomal RNA (468 nucleotides) under uncultured bacterium. Its description in RNAcentral is "partial 16S ribosomal RNA". It matches the Rfam family "Bacterial small subunit ribosomal RNA", at positions 28 to 507 of the family's 1533-position model. The record is from RNAcentral.